AGCUGCAGUCGAGAAUCUUUCGCAAUGGGCGCAAGCCUGACGAAGCGACGCCGCGUGAGCGAUGAAGGCCUUCGGGUUGUAAAGCUCUUUCGCSCGGGAACAAGAAAGGGAUGUGAAUAACCUKCUGAUUUGAGGGUACUGGGUAAAGAAGCACCGGCUAACUCC
Molecule: ribosomal RNA, 165 nt
Filed under: uncultured Chlamydiales bacterium
Lineage: Bacteria; Pseudomonadati; Chlamydiota; Chlamydiia; Chlamydiales
Description: partial 16S ribosomal RNA
Rfam family: Bacterial small subunit ribosomal RNA
Source: RNAcentral